Lucilia sericata (common green bottle fly) is the source of this 725-nucleotide long non-coding RNA. RefSeq lists it as uncharacterized. Lineage: Eukaryota; Metazoa; Arthropoda; Insecta; Diptera; Calliphoridae. The transcript has 2 exons. The record is from RefSeq and is a predicted model, not a curated record.
CAUUUAAGUUUUUAAUUCAUUUUGAGUUUUUCUUCUUUUAAUUCAAGAUUUUCCCUUCUACUUUCAGGUUCCUCAACAUGGACAGCUGGCAGGACUAACGCAAAUGGACUAUUGAGGAGAGCUGGUUUGCAGGUGUGGUUUUCUGUCCGUCCGUUUUACAGUUUGUUCGGGUAUUUCAGGUAAGUAACAAAAAUAUAUAUAUUACAAGAACCUUUUAAAUAAUUUGGGUUUUUUUUUUUCUUUUUUUUUUUGUAUAUACUGGUUUCCGGCAACCUAUGAGUACAAAUCUACCGCGACACUAUUCAUAAGUAGGCCUGAGCUCAAUCCUAACCUUACGCGCACGCCUGGUUCAAUUUCAACCAGCGGACUGGCUUCGAGCUACUAACCGUAAGAAAUUAUCUAAAAGGACAGGUUCUGUCCGUUCUGUCGUUCGGGUAAGAGGUACACUUAUGUCGAAAACCUUAAUACCUGGACACCAUAGGACUGUUGGUGCGGAUCUGCUAGAGUAGUCCCACGCUGGAUGGAGCUGGCGAUGGCGUGACUCAGAGUUGCUGCUUUAGUAUUAUGUUUCUCGCUUUAUUUAGCUUUAAGAUUGAUUUAAUUUAGUUUAAAACUUUUAUGAAUAAAAAAAAAACAAGGAAUUAUUUAAUUUAAAUUAAAAUUCUUGUUGUUGUUCUUGACGGCCACGGGCUCCACCUUCUUCUUGGGCAGGGAAAAAUGAAAAG